UGGGGAAUAUUGCACAAUGGGCGCAAGCCUGAUGCAGCCAUGCCGCGUGUAUGAAGAAGGCCUUCGGGUUGUAAAGUACUUUCAGUCGGGAGGAAGGUGGUAAGGUUAAUAACCUUAUCAAUUGACGUUACCGACAGAAGAAGCACCGGCUAACUCCGUGCCAGCAGCCGCGGUAAUACGGAGGGUGCAAGCGUUAAUCGGAAUUACUGGGCGUAAAGCGCACGCAGGCGGUUGAUUGAGUCAGAUGUGAAAUCCCCGGGCUUAACCCGGGAAUUGCAUCUGAUACUGGUCAGCUAGAGUCUUGUAGAGGGGGGUAGAAUUCCAUGUGUAGCGGUGAAAUGCGUAGAGAUGUGGAGGAAUACCGGUGGCGAAGGCGGCCCCCUGGACAAAGACUGACGCUCCGGUGCGAAAGCGUGGGGAGCAAACAGG
RNAcentral lists this ribosomal RNA (429 nucleotides) under Chloroflexota bacterium. RNAcentral's name for it is "Chloroflexi bacterium partial 16S ribosomal RNA". It matches the Rfam family "Bacterial small subunit ribosomal RNA", at positions 355 to 776 of the family's 1533-position model. The record is from RNAcentral. Lineage: Bacteria; Bacillati; Chloroflexota.